This 85-nucleotide transfer RNA is filed under the name Felis catus (domestic cat). It matches the Rfam family "tRNA". Rfam says of the family: Transfer RNA (tRNA) molecules are approximately 80 nucleotides in length. Lineage: Eukaryota; Metazoa; Chordata; Mammalia; Carnivora; Felidae. The record is from Rfam by way of RNAcentral.
GCCUGGGUGGCUCAGUCAGUUAAGCAUCUGACUUCGGCUCAGGUCAUGAUUUCAUAGUUCAUGGGUUCCAGCCCCAUGUCAGGCU